CUAAGGAAUAUUACGGAAACCUACACACGCGUCGAAACUUUGUUUAGUUUUGAGAGAUUUAACUCUCAAAACUUGUUCUUUGAAAACUAGAUAAUAUCAAAUAUAUUUUUUCAUAAUGAAACCGAGAACACCGCAGUUUUUUGAGUUUUUUAUUGAAGUUUAAUUAUCGCUAAACUCAUUAAUCGCAUUUACCGUUAGGU
This 200-nucleotide unclassified non-coding RNA is filed under the name Lactobacillus sp. SR1. Its description in RNAcentral is "16S-23S ribosomal RNA intergenic spacer region". The record is from RNAcentral. Lineage: Bacteria; Bacillati; Bacillota; Bacilli; Lactobacillales; Lactobacillaceae.